ACCUCCGCCUCCUGCCGCUCGCCAUGUUCCUGGCUCAGCUGGGCCUCCAAUCCGCGACACGCCUCCUCCUGGCUGAGCAGCACCAUCUCGCGCCCACACAACGCCUCCUCCGCUGCCUCGGCCAGAUGCCUCUGGCUGCCGCACUCCUGCUUCCAGCUGGCCAGCUCACCCUGUAAGGUUUCCACUUACCUCUUGCCCAUCUAUAAUUCUAAGGGUCUUUUUUCCCCGUGUCAUGCUCUGAUUGCUGAUGUCCCAGGGGAAAAAUGAACCGAUUAAAGAGGAAAUAUACUCUCCUUGGUUCUGAUAAAAAAAUGGAGAUUCCUGCAAGAACAAAACAAUGGAAAAAAAGAUCUGUGAAGCACAGCACUGGGAAGAACUUAAAUAUAAGACUAACGAAGGGGCAAACAGGAGGCAGCUUGUGAGUGAUUAACAAGAGGGCAGGAAUGACAGAUGCUGCUGUAUGCCACCAUCCAGGGCCGAGAUGUCAGACAGAGCAAAAUCUAAAUCAGAGUGAGGUGAAAUGCAUACGGUAUGCAGAGUGGACAAACAGAAGCCAGUUAAACGGGAUAACAGACUCCUCUUCAUUUCUCGUUUUUUUCAUGUGUUCCGCACCUUAUUCUAAUAAGAGAAGAAACAAGAUGGACAGUUAAAUAGGGUAACAGACUGUUACUUUGGGUCUUUAUUUCUCUUCUUUCCUUCUUCUUCUGGACUGCCGGCUCAUGUUCAAACUUUGAUGACUGAAAGCCAAAUAAGUAACAAGUUUAACUGCGUUAUUAUAAGAUACUGUAUUUUAUAACCAUCACACAUAGAUGGAAACAUUUUUAUAUGUUUCAAAACAGAAUUAAAGAAAUUUCUUAAUUGAUUAUCCAUUAGUCUGUGGUAAUAUAUGGUAGUUAUAUGGUAAUAUAUUCAAGGCAAGUGAAGUAGGUCUUUACCGUCGUGUUUAACCAUACACAGUUAGUGCAGUAUGCAGUUAAAAAUUAAACAGACCACGGUGCUUCAUAUAUUGACACAAGACUAACAUAUAACAACCUAACAACGUAGAGAGCAUAGUGUGCUAUUGGUGCAAUCACUGCAGGACAGUGCAAAAAGACAGGACAACUG
This is a non-coding RNA of Paramormyrops kingsleyae, 1104 nucleotides long. NCBI's taxonomy places the organism in Eukaryota, Metazoa, Chordata, Actinopteri, Osteoglossiformes, Mormyridae. The record is from RefSeq and is a predicted model, not a curated record.